Molecule: long non-coding RNA, 1175 nt
Filed under: Aedes aegypti (yellow fever mosquito)
Lineage: Eukaryota; Metazoa; Arthropoda; Insecta; Diptera; Culicidae
Description: lncRNA AAEL022943
Source: RNAcentral
GAUUAACAUUAGUCGUCUCACGUCAUUCGCGGUGAGAGCGACUCGUCUCGACUCACACGCCGCGCAGAAUAAGUACAAAUGACGAUACAAGCCCGAUACGACUGAUGGGAUUCGAACCCUCCACCCUCUGCUGAAGUAAGGCGGCGUUCAAAAAGUACGUCACGCUCGAAGGGGGGGGGGAGGGUUGCUACUCACACAAAAAAAAAUUAAAUCUUGAAAAAUAUUCUUUAUAGGUGAGUAAAUAACCCUUACGAAGCAGAUUUGAGAAACGAAAUUACAGUCAACUCUCCCUAACUCAAUAUCGGAAGGACUAUCGAGUUAGGAAGGUAUAAAGGUAUAUUUUUUUUCAUUUCUCAUUAUUUUGACGAAAAUUAUUCGAAAUAGUUUAUAUGCUAUUUAUCAAUAAAAACUUAAAUUAAUAGUAUUCACUUUUUUUUUUAAUUUUACCCCCCUGAAAUGGUUUGUCAACCUUCAUUCUACUAUCAGCUAAAUAUCGAGUAGGAGAGCUAAACUUGCAUAAAAAACUGAAGCAGAUAGCAUCGAGUUUAGGGACAUCGAGUUAGAGAGGAAUUGACUUACAAACCUAAAGAACACACAUUCCAUCGAGUUACAGGAUAGUUGAUUGUAUAUUAUAUUCAUUUUUGAAACAUUGCACUUAAGGUACCACCCUAUCAAGCAUGCUGCUGCUCACACAACGCCAUCCAUCAGCCUACUAUGCCGAGACGCAACAACUAUCCCGACAGAGCUAACACUUAUAACUAACUAUAUGUGCACCAUGUUCAUAUCGCCGGGUUUUUGAAUGAGACGCACCACAGCUACACCCUCGUGUGGUAUGGUCCGAGUUUGUGCACCAUCACUAUCCCCCCUGACAGUGACAAGUAAGAAAAGAGUUGCAGUCGCGACGGCGAUCGAUACACCAUCAACAACGGCCACGGAAUAAGGAACUGUUUUUUAGUAUAGUCAAUAAUAGUCUGCGUUGUUUGCGAACCAUAAUACCGAUGCGUACAGACAGGUGUAGGGUAAUUUGCCCAUUAUUGCAGUAUAAGAAUUAAAUAGAAACCAGUAUUUUCUAUAUACAGAUUUUUUUUUAAUUGCUUUAUUAGUAACAUUUUAUACGUUACAUUUAUUUCUUUUAUCUAGGUGUCCAGUGUUAGACAACGCUAUCAUCCUAAUUU